UUUUGGUUCACUAGACCGUGUUACAGUUUCUGUCUUGGAUAACUGUGGUAAUUCUACAGCUAAUACAUGCAACAAAGUUUUAACCAGUUUUAUUGGGAGAAACGCUUUUAUUAGAUCAAAAUCAAUCCCCCUGGUUUUACCGGUCCGUUACUUUGGUGACUCUCAAUAACCACGUAGAUCGCAUGGUCUUGUACCGGCCACUUAUCUUUCAAAUGCCUGACUUAUCAACUGUCGAUGGUAGACUCUNUGUCUACCAU
Molecule: ribosomal RNA, 257 nt
Filed under: Heteroptera environmental sample
Lineage: Eukaryota; Metazoa; Arthropoda; Insecta; Hemiptera
Description: partial 18S ribosomal RNA
Rfam family: Eukaryotic small subunit ribosomal RNA
Source: RNAcentral